This 752-nucleotide ribosomal RNA is filed under the name uncultured soil bacterium. RNAcentral's name for it is "bacterial SSU rRNA". It matches the Rfam family "Bacterial small subunit ribosomal RNA", at positions 28 to 769 of the family's 1533-position model. The record is from RNAcentral.
AGCGAACGCUGGCGGCAGGCUUAACACAUGCAAGUCGAGCGCUCGUAGCAAUACGAGAGCGGCAGACGGGUGAGUAACGCGUGGGAACAUGCCCUUCGGUUCGGAAUAACACUUCGAAAGGGGUGCUAAUACCGGAUAAGCCCACGGGGUCUUUGGAUUCUGCGGGAAAAGGGGGGGACCUUCGGGCCUUCUGUCAUCAGAUGAGUCUGCGUACCAUUAGCUAGUUGGUAGGGUAAUGGCCUACCAAGGCUACGAUGGUUAGCUGGUUUGAGAGAAUGAUCAGCCACACUGGAACUGAGACACGGUCCAGACUCCUACGGGAGGCAGCAGUGGGGAAUUUUGCGCAAUGGGCGAAAGCCUGACGCAGCAACGCCGCGUGAGUGAUGAAGGCUUUCGGGUCGAAAGCUCUGUCGAGGGGAAAGAAGUGUAAGGAGGUUAAUACCCUCUUUACUUGACGGUACCCCUAAAGGAAGCACCGGCUAACUCCGUGCCAGCAGCCGCGGUAAUACGGGGGGUGCAAGCGUUGUUCGGAAUUAUUGGGCGUAAAGAGCGUGUAGGCGGUUUGUUAAGUCUGUUGUGAAAGCCCUGGGCUCAACCCAGGAAGUGCACUGGAUACUGGCAGACUUGAAUACGGGAGAGGGUAGUGGAAUUCCUAGUGUAGGAGUGAAAUCCGUAGAUAUUAGGAGGAACACCGGUGGCGAAGGCGGCUACCUGGACCGAUAUUGACGCUGAGACGCGAAAGCGUGGGUAGC